This 499-nucleotide long non-coding RNA is filed under the name Mytilus galloprovincialis (Mediterranean mussel). The record is from RNAcentral. Lineage: Eukaryota; Metazoa; Mollusca; Bivalvia; Mytilida; Mytilidae.
UGCUGUUUUGUUAAUCAUUACUCCUGUCCUGUCUUUUUUUUUUAAAUUGCAUCCUAGAUAUCAUCCUUUUUUGAAUUUUCCCAUAAAAAUCAAUGGAGGCUCCCUUAUUCAAAAGACAAUAAAUAACUAUCACACAAAAGCUGGAGCUAUACUAGACAAAGAACCAUUCCGUUUAACCUCGACUUAUGAAUGUCCCUUUGGUUUAUUCUUUCUUCCGCCUCUUGUAUAAAAGGGAUCGUUAUGUUCUUAUUUCAUAAUUAUUGAUUGUUAUGGUCUACUUGAAUUGAAACAAUAUUCAAAAUAAGCAAUGAAAAAAAUCCCGAUUUUUCGUAUAUGGUACAUGUAACUGAACUUGAUAUUCAUUUUUUAUUUAAUUGUCAUACGAACUAUGAUUUUGUCUAUUAAUAAUGAAGUUAUCCAUUUAUUUAAUUGAUGUCUGUUUCGGAAUUCAUUCUGAACAGUCUUACAACAACAGUCAUUCGUUUAUUCUUAGCAAUAC